GAGUCCUACGGGGGGCAGCAGUGGGGAAUAUUGCACAAUGGGCGAAAGCCUGAUGCAGCAACGCCGCGUGAAGGAAGACGGUUUUCGGAUUGUAAACUUCUGUUCUUAGUGAAGAAAAAUGACGGUAGCUAAGGAGCAAGCCACGGCUAACUACGUGCCAGCAGCCGCGGUAAUACGUAGGUGGCAAGCGUUGUCCGGAAUUACUGGGUGUAAAGGGAGCGUAGGCGGGAAACCAAGUCAGCUGUGAAAACUACGGGCGUAACCUGUAGACUG
RNAcentral lists this ribosomal RNA (273 nucleotides) under uncultured bacterium. RNAcentral's name for it is "partial 16S ribosomal RNA". It matches the Rfam family "Bacterial small subunit ribosomal RNA", at positions 334 to 623 of the family's 1533-position model. The record is from RNAcentral.